CCUUCCAUGUUUAUUUGCCUCUAUACCAACAAUCCCUCUGCUUGGAAUGUCCUUUUUUUCCUGGUUAAUUCUUACCUUUCUCUCCACGAUGCCUCAAAGUCAAUGAUCCAGUAGAGCCUUCUCAGCUGUCCUGGGCAGAGCUUCAGUGAGCACAGUCUGCCCCAACCUCUCCAUUUCCAUACCUGGAAGGGCAUGUGCUACCUGGUUGUGAACGUGUUCUGUCUUUCACAUGCCCAUCAGUUAGCAUCAUGCCUGUCUCUUCUACUCAUAAAGGUUAGCUGGGGAAAGGAGGAGUAAGACAUUAAACUAGUGAGUGGAUGGAGUAAGUGGAUACAAUUGAAGUAAACCUGAGACCUUUCGUUCUGAAGUUAUGUGAACUCUGAGUGGGUUGGUGACAAUGCAAUGAUGAGGCACAGUUACAGGUAAUAUGUUCUUUAGCAGAUGAUUAACUUAUUAUGAAAAGCGUCAGGCUCCUAUAAAUAAAACCAGUCAAUACAUGGUCCUAACUCAGACCUUUUGGCUCUGGAUGGCUCCCCUCUACUAGGCUUUCUCUGGCUACUCUGUUGUGGUUCUCUGACAUUAUAACCAAAAGCGACAUUUUAAUUCUGCAGGUGAAAGGGAGCAAGGCCAGGUUUCUGCAAGAGCAGUUUUGUCAGCUCAAUCUAGAAAGUCAGUUGAGCAAAGCAGGAGUUAUUGUUGCUUUAAUCUGUCCUACUUGCCCUGGAAAGGCUCUGUUGGGUUUUCAAAAUGAAUGAUUCAGAUGCUUCUGAUUGUUUACAUUUGUUUGGGAAAGAUUGAGAUUUCAGGAUGUAAUUUGAUAUGUACCUUUCCCCCAGUACCCCAGCCUCUCUUUUCCUGUUCUUUGUUACGUGUUCAGUGACAUGAAACCAGGUGGCACUUGACACUCUGAAUAGCUCUAAGCCAGCCAUUGUCAGUUCCAAAGUCAAUCAUUUGCCUGAGGUCAGGAAGGAAAACUGGGCUGUGACUUCAUUUCCUAGGGCUUCAGACUUAAGGUUUUCCUCUGCUCUCCCUACACUAGUUUCUUAGCACAUUUUGCUGUUGUUGUUAAGUUUAGAAUGGGACAUGUAUAUGUCUCAAGUACAAACAAUGAAUUUAGGAAGGCUUGUAGAUAAGGGGACUGCUUGAUGCUGAUGUCCUGAAUGUAAAAUUGGCCUCUUUAUUCUGAAUAUUUGUUUUCAGCCUGUGCCAGUGGAGCUCCCUGACUACUUAGGCUGAUUCAUUCUGCCUCCAACAGGAGCCGUUUCAAUAUUUGCAGUACAGUUCUCCUCAGUGAAUUCAAUUGAAUGAACAGUUGAAUAAAUAGUAAAAGAAUCCAUUUCUGUGGAAGGAACAGUAACAUUCAAUAAUAUCUUUUUCAGGGUGGUAACCUUUUUGACUUUUAAAUAUUAGAGAAUCUUAACAAGGUGCAGCUGGUGAAUGAAUGCUUUUUUGAUAAUUGAAUAUUUUUUCUCAGAUGCAAAGCUCUAGAUUUAACAGCUGUCCAGUUAAGAGUCAAAGCUAUAUUCAGUUAUGUAAACACUGACCUUUUCUUAUCCAAGUUCCCCUUGAUUUUGUUGAUACAUGUCUCAGCCUCUUCUUUACUAUGGCCUAUCCAAAUCUUAAACACAUUUUUGUUACUAGCAAUGAAGCUAGAGUUGGACACAAUGGGGCCAGAAUGAGAAUAAUAAGGAUCUUUUUAUUUGGUGAUAACAGAUUACUAUUGGGUGAUAUUUUUCAAGGGCCCAUACUCAUGCUAAAAUGAAUUUUGGGAAAUGUAGUGAUGGAAUAGAAAGAUCUCAGUACCAGUCCUUUCUUGGCCAUUAAAUCUACCAUGUGACUUGAGAACAACCUAUUACCAUCUCUGGGCCUCAGUUUCUUCAUCAUAAUAUAAUGAAGAAUGUAUAAUGUAAUGUUUUCAUUAUAAUGAACAGUUGAAUAAAUAGUAAUAGGAUAAAUAGUAAAAUUAUAAUGAAAACAUUGGAUUAGAUCACUGAUGUUCAACUGUGUUCCUAAAGGCACCAAAUCUUUUCAGGAGAUAUGAAGACAUGGCUCAUUUACUCUGUGUCUUUUCAGUUGUAUAAGUUUCUUUAAGAGUUGGUAUAAAACUUGGCCAUAAUUUUACUUUAUAACCAAUAGGUUUGAAUUUUAUCACUAUGUAUAAUAUGUAUCACACAACCCAUCCAAACCCAUCCCCACUCUCAACCUAGUCUUCCUGAUUUGUCUUCUCCCAUCCAAGGACAAACUAAAGAACUCUCUUCUCUCUUACCUUUAUUAUUACCAACUCUUGUAAAUUGUUUCUUUUCUCUGAAUGUCACUGAAAUAAAGUGUCUUCUAAUCCAUAAUUUUAUUUUCUCUCUGUGAUACUCCAGGUUCAGUAAGUCAACUGCAAGUUUUCAUGAGAGCAUGACAGGGGCAGCCUCUUAAUUACCUUCCCACCUCCCCUUUGGCACAAAUUAUUGGAUCCACUGGCUAUGUUCUCAUCUAAAGCUGGUGAUUCACAGUUGGUCUAAAUAAAUCGUGGAAAUCCUGAACCUUUUUCUCAGGUUCCCUACAGCCGAACUUGAUCCUAUGAAAUGUCCUAGGCUGGCCAGUGAUAUUUAAGCCAGUGGAAGUCUAGAGAGAAUAUAAAGGGAAAAAACACUUUUAUUCUUUUGGGGAAAGCUGCCCUUUUUCCUUUGUCUUCUUUUUGCCUUGACAACAGGUAGGAUACCUGGAAUUACAGCAGCCAUGUGGCAACUAAUGGCAACCAAGACGAGGAAAAGACCAAGAUAAACUCAGAGAAUUGGGGCCCUGACUUUGUUCAAUGACAAAAUCAAUGACAUCAACUUACUUUUGGAGUUUUGCUUGGUUGAGAAAAUUUUAACUAAUGGUUAGAAUUUCACAUUCACUUGCACAUUAACAAAUACUUAUGAGGUACCUAUAAUAUCCCAUACACAGAGCAUGAAAUACAUUGGGAAACAAAGCACAAAAACUUCUUAUCCUCAUAGUUUACAUUCUAGUAGGGAAAAGAGACAGAAAGCUAUCAAUACCCAUAAUAAAGAAGAAAGUUAUAUACAAUAUUAGAAAAUGCUAAGUGUUAUGGAGAAAAGAAAGAGCAGGACAUGUGGACUUGGAAGUGAAAAUGAUCAGGACAUUAUGAGGCCUUCCUGGGACAGACUAUCCCCUGUUUCCUCUGCUUUAGCUCCUCUCUGAAGUACCUAGAUAAAAGUAUCUGAUGCUCAUUUCCUGAGUCGUUUCACUGAUGUGAAAACACCCAACAAAUGGAAGAUGUUAACUACUCAGUGACCAUAAGCAUGUAACCCCCAGAACUACUGGAGCCUAAGUACUGAUAAUGUUAACCCUGUAACAUUGCCCUGUGAUAUUUACCAUCAACCAGUCAGAAGGUUGUGCAUGGGCUGAUGAGCUGAUCACAUACCCUGUGAAUCCCCUGCCUCACCUGACCUUUAAAAAUGCUUCCCUGAAACCCUCCAGGGCUUUUUUCUUUUCCUACAAGCUGCCCAGGACUCCUUGUUUGGAGUCUUACAAUAAAAGCUGCACUAGCCCUCAGCACAACCUGGUGCGCUCACCAUAACCUUCUGUCAGUAGAUUGGCUUUACUGUACUUGGGUGAUGAAUCUAAGUUUGGUUUGGAACAAAUGUUCAGAUUAAAGGGUUAGAUAUGGUUGCUAAUAGGAUAGUAGGAAUGUGUUUGAGAAAGUGACAUUUGAGAAACAACUUGAAGGAGGGAGAGAUUUGGUCUUAUGGUUAUCUCCAGGAAGAGAAGUUCAGACACUGGGUGCAACCAGUGCAAAAGUUCUAAGCCAGGAGCAAGUCCAGUCUACCCCAAGAACCACAGGGAGACUACAUGUGACUGGAGGGAAGUGAGCAAGGGAGAGGUGUCUGAAUGUGUAUGGCAGAUGGUGCAGAAUUUUGAGGUCAUUAUAAGGAUGUCACUUUUUUUUUCCUCCUGAGUGAAAGUGAGUAGCUGUUUGAAGAUGUUGUACAGAAUGAUAAUAUGGCCCGACUUUCAUUUAACAAGAUUAUCUGACCUGUUCUGUUAAAAAGCAGAUGUAGGGAAAAGCAAAGGUAGAACAAGGGAGAAGGAUUAGGAGUCCUUUAUAGUAAU
RNAcentral lists this long non-coding RNA (4104 nucleotides) under Sus scrofa (pig). RNAcentral's name for it is "lncRNA (ENSSSCG00000058920.1)". Lineage: Eukaryota; Metazoa; Chordata; Mammalia; Artiodactyla; Suidae. The record is from RNAcentral.